CGUUCAGAAAACUCAGUGCCAGUGGUAGGAGGAUGGAGUGUACUAUCAGUGGAUGAUUCUGAUGUCAAAGGUAUGCCAAGCUCUCCCUUCCAACUCUUGAAGCAUUGCCAGGAUCAAAAGGCAAACUAAAAUUGGUUGAAGUCAUCUCAGUUCAUACCCAGGUUGUUUCUGGUGUACUCUACUCUUUGGAGCUGAAAGUUGCCAACUCAAAAGCGGACGCAAAAAUUUGCAAAGUUAAAGUCUGGGUGCAAUCGUGGCUGAACAAAGAGGAAGUAACAGAUGCAUUCUGCGAAAAUGAGGCUUCAACUAAGAAGAAGGUAUUUUCAUCGGGGACACCAGAUGGUUUGAAACCAGUGGAUGUAAACAAUAGUGAUGUACAAAAGUAUGCUCAACUCUCUCUUUCAAGCUUAAUGAGCCUUGCAGGGUCUGAUCUGAAGCUGGUCAAAGUCGUAAACGCUCAGCAACAGGGUGUCCCUGGGGUGCUCUACCAUCUUAAUUUAGAAAUCACUAACUCGAAUGGUGAAUCAAAAUUAUGCAAAACGAAAGUAUGGGUCCAGCCGAAGAAAGAAGAAGUGACAGAUGCAUCCUGUGAAGACAAGCCAUCGAGUCGGAGGAAGAGGUCCAGAUCUGAUGACGAUUCUGAAGAUGGAGACACAGUUCGCUUAACACCGAAGAAUCCUCUCGAUCCUGACGUCCAAAAAUCUGCGAAGUACUCUCUUUCAUCACUUCAAAAAUUAUCAGAUUUCAAAGAUAAUCUGACAUUGGUAGAAGUCAUGGAAGCCUUUGCAGAGAGCGUUUCAGGGGUGGUCUACCAUUUGAAAUUAAAAGUUGCUGAUUCCAGAGAAGAUCCAAAAAUUUGCAAGGUAAAAGUUCACAGAUAUUGGUCAGGCAGUCAAGAAGUGUCAGGAGCAAUCUGUCUGCACGAAACGACAGAAAAGGACCAGCAUGAACAUGAUCAUGAUCAUAAAAGAAAACGGGUGAGACCAUCCUUGUCAUUCAUGUACUCUCAAGUGAUUACCAACUUUCAGAUCAUCUGAAUAUAUCUCGAUCAGUUUCCAAAAAAAUUCCGCCAAUUUAAAAAGGACAUAUAGAAAAAAAAAGAAAAAAAAAAAACUUGAAGAUGACGGUAAGUGAGAGUAUGGACCAAAGUUUACUUCCCAAAAAGCCAGUCUCCAUAAGAAAUGCAAGAGGUCCUUUAUAGUUCCAGCAAUGCCUUCAGCAUAUUCAUCUAUUACUCAUGUUACAGAACUAAGAGAGAACUCUGUAUGAGCCGUCAAACGUUAUAAAAUUUUCUCUGGCAAAUCACGAAUUUGCAAGAAAUUUUGUAAAUAUUUUUCUUCCGAUUGUUCAGAGAAUUUCACUCGAAAUUUUAUUGAAAGAGUCUCAAAAUUUCAAGGACGAAUAUUCAAAACUUGCCCCAGAAAUGAAUAUUUUCCUAGAGGAUAUUUGGCAACAUUCAAGUAUUCAUCUGGCGUUUUUCUAGCUUGGCAGCAUGAAUCGGAGGACAAAUAUCUUUGUUCAGGGUGUCUAGCAUCAGGAAAAACCGGAAAAUAUCAGGAAUUUUUGCUGAUCAAGAAAAAAUCAGGAAAAUCGGAAAAAUCGGACGUUUAAUCAGGAAUUUUUGGCGGCUAGGGGUCGCAGAGCGCCAAAGAGCGCUGUAAAAGCGACACAUACAUACAUACAUAAUCAGGAAUUUUUCUGAUUCGAAUCUCCUCAGCGGAGCCUCUUAUGCUUUUUGCCUACUGUGCCAGGAGUCGAGAAAAAUCAGGAAAAUACCAGGAAUUUUCAAAAUGAAAAAUCAGGAUUUUUAAUAAAAUAUCAGGAAAAACUCAGGAAAAUAUCAGGAUUUUUCAAAAUUAAAAAAUACUAGACACCCUGUUGUUUUUGUUCGUGAUCUUUACUCACAGCCUAGAGGAUGAUCUUUGAUAUUUUCAUCCAUUAUACUACCUUUGUCUAAUAUUUCUUUCUCCUCCUCCAUUUU
This 1981-nucleotide long non-coding RNA is filed under the name Bemisia tabaci. RNAcentral's name for it is "lncRNA ENSSSA1NGG004897". Lineage: Eukaryota; Metazoa; Arthropoda; Insecta; Hemiptera; Aleyrodidae. The record is from RNAcentral.